GCUCGUAGUCGAACUUCGGGCUCNGUCACCGGUCCGCCUUCUUGGUGUGUACUUGGUUGAUGGAGCCUUACCUCCUGGGAAACGGCGAUGUCCUUUACUGGGUGGCGUCNCAAACGAGGACUUUUACUUUGAAAAAAUUAGAGUGUUCAAAGCAGGCCUUUGCCCGAAUCCAUUAGCAUGGAAUAAAAAAAUAGGACGCGCGUUCCCAUUUUGUUGGUUUCUGAGAUCGCCGANNUGAUGAAUAGGGAUACUGGGGGGCAUUUGUAUUCCGUCGNCNGAGGUGAAAUACUUGGAUUGCCGGAAGACAAACUACUGCGAAAGCAUUUGCCAAGGAUGUUUUCAUUGAUCAAGAACGAAGGAAGGGGGAUCGAAAACGAUUAGAUACCGUUGUAGUCUCUUCUGUAAACUAUGCCAAUUGGGGAUCGGUACAGGAUUUUUAAUGACUGUAUCGGCACCCGAAGAGAAAUCUUUAAAUGAGGUUCGGGGGGGAGUAUGGUCGCAAGGCUGAAACUUAAAGGAAUUGANNGAAGGGCACCACCAGGUGUGGAGCCUGCGGCUUAAUUUGACUCAACACGGGGAAACUCACCAGGUCCAGACACAAUAAGGAUUGACAGAUUGAUAGCUCUUUCUUGAUCUUGUGGUUGGUGGUGCAUGGCCGUUCUUAGUUGGUGGAGUGAUUUGUCUGGUUAAUUCCGAUAACGAACAAAAACCUUAA
RNAcentral lists this ribosomal RNA (715 nucleotides) under Rhodotorula sp. 1a-E. Its description in RNAcentral is "SSU rRNA". It matches the Rfam family "Eukaryotic small subunit ribosomal RNA", at positions 626 to 1347 of the family's 1831-position model. Lineage: Eukaryota; Fungi; Basidiomycota; Microbotryomycetes; Sporidiobolales; Sporidiobolaceae. The record is from RNAcentral.